GAUGAAGAACGUAGCGAAAUGCGAUAAGUAGUGUGAAUUGCAGAAUUCCGUGAAUCAUUGAAUCUUUGAACGCACAUUGCGCCUCCUGGUAAUCCGUGAGGCAUGCCUGUCCGAGCGUCAGUAAAAAGCAACUCGGCCGCGGCUGGCGGUUGGUGAUGGAGGAAGAGCACGUCUCGUUGUCGGUCUCCCCUCCCAAAAUCAACGGCGGAAUGUCACUGGCACUCGGUGUUGUAGUAUUAUUCGCCGAUCACCCAUUGUUGUUCCUGCCGCCCAAACCCCCACAAUUCUCUUGAUUGACCUCGGAUCAGGUAGGGAUACCUGCUGAACUUAAGCAUAUCAAUAAGCGGAGGA
Molecule: unclassified non-coding RNA, 351 nt
Filed under: soil metagenome
Description: partial contains 5.8S ribosomal RNA, internal transcribed spacer 2, and large subunit ribosomal RNA
Rfam family: 5.8S ribosomal RNA (bases 1-120)
Source: RNAcentral